UACACUCCUGCGGGAGGCAGCAGUGGGGAAUAUUGGACAAUGGGCGCAAGCCUGAUCCAGCCAUGCCGCGUGAGUGAUGAAGGCCCUAGGGUUGUAAAGCUCUUUCACCGGUGAAGAUAAUGACGGUAACCGGAGAAGAAGCCCCGGCUAACUUCGUGCCAGCAGCCGCGGUAAUACGAAGGGGGCUAGCGUUGUUCGGAUUUACUGGGCGUAAAGCGCACGUAGGCGGACUAUUAAGUCAGGGGUGAAAUCCCGGGGCUCAACCCCGGAACUGCCUUUGAUACUGGUAGUCUUGAGUUCGAGAGAGGUGAGUGGAAUUCCGAGUGUAGAGGUGAAAUUCGUAGAUAUUCGGAGGAACACCAGUGGCGAAGGCGGCUCACUGGCUCGAUACUGACGCUGAGGUGCGAAAGCGUGGGGAGCAAACAGGAUUAGAUACCCUUGUAGUCCCAUGA
RNAcentral lists this ribosomal RNA (452 nucleotides) under uncultured organism. Its description in RNAcentral is "partial 16S ribosomal RNA". It matches the Rfam family "Bacterial small subunit ribosomal RNA", at positions 332 to 800 of the family's 1533-position model. The record is from RNAcentral.